AGAGUUUGAUCCUGGCUCAGGAUGAACGCUAGCGGCAGGCCUAAUACAUGCAAGCCGAACGGUAAGUGGUGUAGCAAUAUAUCACCAAGAGUGGCGUAAGGGUGCGUAACACGUAUGCAAUCUGCCCGCAACAGGAGAAUAGCUCCCCGAAAGGGGAAUUAAUACUCCAUAAGACCACACGAGGGCAUCUGAGAGUGGUU
This 200-nucleotide ribosomal RNA is filed under the name uncultured bacterium. RNAcentral's name for it is "partial 16S ribosomal RNA". It matches the Rfam family "Bacterial small subunit ribosomal RNA", at positions 8 to 202 of the family's 1533-position model. The record is from RNAcentral.